UACGGAGGAUCCGAGCGUUAUCCGGAUUUAUUGGGUUUAAAGGGUGCGUAGGCGGCCUAUUAAGUCAGGGGUGAAAGACGGUAGCUUAACUAUCGCAGUGCCUUUGAUACUGAUGGGCUUGAAUGUACUUGAGGUAGGCGGAAUGUGACAAGUAGCGGUGAAAUGCAUAGAUAUGUCACAGAACACCAAUUGCGAAGGCAGCUUACUAAAGUAUGAUUGACGCUGAGGUACGAAAGCGUGGGGAUCAAACAGG
This 253-nucleotide ribosomal RNA is filed under the name uncultured bacterium. RNAcentral's name for it is "partial 16S ribosomal RNA". It matches the Rfam family "Bacterial small subunit ribosomal RNA", at positions 524 to 776 of the family's 1533-position model. The record is from RNAcentral.